Molecule: long non-coding RNA, 922 nt
Organism: Mytilus californianus (California mussel)
Lineage: Eukaryota; Metazoa; Mollusca; Bivalvia; Mytilida; Mytilidae
Exons: 2
Source: RefSeq, a predicted model, not a curated record
UUAUGAUCAUUUUAUAUAAUGUAAAAAUCAUCUAUUUAUUAAAUUACUAUAUUUAUGAUAAAAGCUUAAUUACAUAUUUUGAAUAUUGUAUUUUUAGUGUAAAUUAUUACUUGAAAACCUUACUUAUAUGUAUAGUAAUAUUCACGUUAUUUUCUAUGAAUAUUCAGUAGGGAUUUACUUGAAUCAUUGUAUUUGAUUGGCUGUUAGUAUUUCGCGGUCAAGUUUAAUUUCCUUUGUUUUGUACCUGUAUAUUUCCACGGACGAUAGCCAUGACAGUCCAUUGAAUUUAUGUCUGAUUAUAUUGACCACAUAGUUACCUGUAAACCUUAUAUUUUGGACAACAUAUUAUUGAAUACUGUAAGUUUACUUCUUUAUUAACAUUAUUUAUAUUUUUCACGUAAAUGAUAUUAUAGCAAAGUUUCUAUUUGUCUUGUAACGUUCUCCUCAUAUCGCAUGCAUGUAACAUAAGUACACAAGAUGUACAUGAGAGUAUUUUAUUAAGCUAUAAGUAUAUGAUUUUAUAAUCUACGGUUUAUUUGCCACGGUAGAAUUAUAUUGUUAAUUUGCGUACACUACUAUUUGGUUAUUGUCACGAAUAGUCUAUAUUUUAUAAAUGGCGGCUUGUUAAACAAAAGACGUAAAAAAGUGUUUCCAUUUAUAUAAAGUAAUAGUUUUGUAUCGAAUAGUUUUUAUAAAGUACAAAUAUGAAUGAGUAAAGAAUAUUUGUCACAUUGUAUAUUUCUAUAAUUAGAGUCCGAGUAUUUAUGUUCGUAUUUUGGUUUCAGGACUCCAUGUAAUGUGUAAUUAUAUAGAACACAUGAUUGUGUGAUGUUUAUUUGAUGUGCCGUUAACCUUACUAGUUCAACUCACUCCAUAAGUGACUUGUUUUAUCUACUGGUACAAUAAAGCAUCAGAACCCUUA